This 1213-nucleotide ribosomal RNA is filed under the name metagenome. RNAcentral's name for it is "bacterial LSU rRNA". It matches the Rfam family "Bacterial large subunit ribosomal RNA", at positions 1636 to 2840 of the family's 2925-position model. The record is from RNAcentral.
AUACGACCGUACCGCAAACCGACACUGGUGCGCGAGAUGAGUAUUCUAAGGCGCUUGAGAGAACUCAGGAGAAGGAACUCGGCAAAUUGACACCGUAACUUCGGAAGAAGGUGUGCCCUAUUAGUGUGUAGUGAACAACGAAGCAUGAAUGGGUUGCAAAAAAUCGGUGGCUGCGACUGUUUAUUAAAAACACAGCACUCUGCAAACACGAAAGUGGACGUAUAGGGUGUGACGCCUGCCCGGUGCUGGAAGAUUAAAUGAUGGGGUGCAAGCUCUUGAUUGAAGUCCCAGUAAACGGCGGCCGUAACUAUAACGGUCCUAAGGUAGCGAAAUUCCUUGUCGGGUAAGUUCCGACCUGCACGAAUGGCGUAACGAUGGCCACACUGUCUCCUCCUGAGACUCAGCGAAGUUGAAAUGUUUGUGAUGAUGCAAUCUCCCCGCGGAAAGACGGAAAGACCCCAUGAACCUUUACUGUAGCUUUGUAUUGGACUUUGAACAGAUCUGUGUAGGAUAGGUGGGAGGCUUUGAAGCAGGGUCGCUAGAUCUUGUGGAGCCAACGUUGAAAUACCACCCUGGUGUGUUUGAGGUUCUAACCUAGGUCCAUUAUCUGGAUCGGGGACAGUGCAUGGUAGGCAGUUUGACUGGGGCGGUCUCCUCCCAAAGCGUAACGGAGGAGUUCGAAGGUACGCUAGUUACGGUCGGACAUCGUGACGAUAGUGCAAUGGCAUAAGCGUGCUUAACUGCGAGACUGACAAGUCGAGCAGAUGCGAAAGCAGGACAUAGUGAUCCGGUGGUUCUGUAUGGAAGGGCCAUCGCUCAACGGAUAAAAGGUACUCUGGGGAUAACAGGCUGAUACCGCCCAAGAGUUCAUAUCGACGGCGGUGUUUGGCACCUCGAUGUCGGCUCAUCUCAUCCUGGGGCUGUAGCCGGUCCCAAGGGUAUGGCUGUUCGCCAUUUAAAGAGGUACGUGAGCUGGGUUUAAAACGUCGUGAGACAGUUUUGGUCCCUAUCUUCCGUGGGCGCUGCAGAUUUGAGGAAGCCUGCUCCUAGUACGAGAGGACCGGAGUGGACACACCUCUGGUGUAUCGGUUGUCACGCCAGUGGCAUUGCCGAGUAGCUAAGUGUGGAAGAGAUAACCGCUGAAAGCAUCUAAGCGGGAAACUCGUUUCAAGAUGAGAUCUGCCGGGGCCUUGAGCCCCCUAAAGAGUCGUCC